RNAcentral lists this RNase P RNA (376 nucleotides) under Chloroflexota bacterium. Its description in RNAcentral is "Chloroflexi bacterium (marine metagenome) RNase P RNA component class A". It matches the Rfam family "Bacterial RNase P class A". From Rfam's summary of the family: Ribonuclease P (RNase P) is a ubiquitous endoribonuclease, found in archaea, bacteria and eukarya as well as chloroplasts and mitochondria. Its best characterised activity is the generation of mature 5'-ends of tRNAs by cleaving the 5'-leader elements of precursor-tRNAs. Cellular RNase Ps are ribonucleoproteins. The record is from RNAcentral. Lineage: Bacteria; Bacillati; Chloroflexota.
CGAGGGGGACGGACGGUCGCCGCUGUGUUUCGAUGCAGGGGAGGAAAGUCCGAGCACCUCAUGAAUCAGAGUGCCUGUUAACGGCAGGGCGGGGCGACCCGACAGAAAGUGCAACAGAAAAUAAACCGCCUUUCGUUUCGGCGAUCGGUAAGGAUGAAACGGUGCGGUAAGAGCGCACCGCUCGAAUGGCGACAUUCGGGGCAAGGUAAACCUCACUCGGUGCAAGACCAAAUAGGGAAGCUAUGACCGGAUUCGGGGAGCUUCCGGGUUGGUUGCUUGAGCCUGUAGGCAACUGCAGGCCUAGAUGGAUGACCGUCGCUGGUUUCGCUUUAUUGCGGAGUUAGUACAGGACUCGGCUUAUAGUCCGCCUCGCGGC